AAGCAGUCUUUAAAUACUACAUUCAAUUUAAAUAUAUUUUAAAAUAUUUUUGAAUAAAUUAAAAAUGACUUUUACCCAUACAAAACAAUUUUUUGUUUUAUGUUUAAUUAUUUGUUUUAUUAAACAAAUAUAUUCUACACCACUCACAGAGAAGGAGAAGAUAGCGUUAGAACGGCACAAUGAUCUGAAAUUAGUGAUCAUAAGAGAACUGCAAAAUGAAGAG
Adelges cooleyi (spruce gall adelgid) is the source of this 223-nucleotide long non-coding RNA. RefSeq lists it as uncharacterized. NCBI's taxonomy places the organism in Eukaryota, Metazoa, Arthropoda, Insecta, Hemiptera, Adelgidae. The record is from RefSeq and is a predicted model, not a curated record. The transcript has 3 exons.